GUGAGUGCUCUUCACCACAGGAGGCAAUCUCUUCUGCCUCUUGGGGACCUGGUCCCAUCCUUGCCAGAGUCUGUCACACAGAUGUCCUCACUUCUCUAGGAAGAAACAAGGGUGUGGCCAGCCUUCCACCAAAGAAAUAACAAACACCGAAAUCAGGAAUGGUGAAGACAAGCCAAAUCACAAUGUUGUCACUCUCGCACUGGGAAGGUGACUUUAACAACCUGCUGACAUCAAUGGCAUGGAAGCACUGGCACCAUAUGGCCAGGGGAGUGUGCUUGCCAACUGGGUGGCCCCACCAACGACCGUGCUACAGGUGCAAAGCCAACUAAGCAGAAGGGCAGCGAGUGGGUUUCCGACUGUCUGAAGACAGUUGCCACUCACAGUGAAGAACUGUGGAGACAUUCAAAAGCCAGCGCUUCUUUCCCCGCCUUAUUAAAAAAUAAAAUCAAAUCUGAGAAUGUGUUCCCAGUACCACAUGGGACAAACUGGAGUUUUAGUUAUUUCUUGCCAUGUGUAUUCCGAAGAGGGAAUGAAGUAUCGGGAGCAUGGCAUUCCUAUGGAGGAAUGGGUCUUGAUGUUCAAAGUAAACUAAAUUUGCCCUUUUGCUAGCAGCGGAGAGACUAGCUUUAAGGAUAUAACAUCACAGGAGUGAAUGAAAUGUGAAAAUUAUGUCUGUCACCAAAGAGAAGGAUGACAUCAUGAGGCUUGACCCAUGACUUGUCACUCUUUCUAAAUUAAUGCCUCUGUGAAGGAAGACUACACAAGGGAUCGUCACCUGCUCCAUAAGCUGCUGGCCCACAUUGCCACUUGGAGCUGCAGGUUCUGGUAGGACUGACUCACCUGUGAAUUU
Long non-coding RNA from Myodes glareolus (Bank vole), 850 nucleotides. RefSeq lists it as uncharacterized. The record is from RefSeq and is a predicted model, not a curated record. Lineage: Eukaryota; Metazoa; Chordata; Mammalia; Rodentia; Cricetidae.